CCGCCAUGGACGGCGGUUGUUCCAUUCUUGCGAUGUUUUGCCGUGAGGCAAAACUCGAAACUCAAAAUCGGACACGGAUGUACAUUCUCCAAC
RNAcentral lists this small RNA (93 nucleotides) under uncultured Treponema sp. Its description in RNAcentral is "TD-2 RNA". It matches the Rfam family "TD-2 RNA". From Rfam's summary of the family: non coding RNA found in Treponema denticola The record is from RNAcentral. Lineage: Bacteria; Pseudomonadati; Spirochaetota; Spirochaetia; Treponematales; Treponemataceae.